GUGAAUCAUCGAAUUUUUGAACGCAAAUUGCACUCUCUUCGGAGAGUAUGCCUGUUUGAGGGUCAGCCUAAAAAAAAAUCGACAUAGUUGCUGUUUCGCGGUGACUUUCGCCGGAAAUCGGGUAAUCUUAAGCUUUUGGGAUUUAAGAGGCUUAAAAUUUUUUUUCUGAUUCUACGAACGCUUCCAAGAUUAACUUCUUAU
RNAcentral lists this unclassified non-coding RNA (201 nucleotides) under Glomus sp. RNAcentral's name for it is "partial contains 5.8S ribosomal RNA and internal transcribed spacer 2". The stretch from base 1 to 65 matches the Rfam family "5.8S ribosomal RNA", at positions 84 to 154 of the family's 154-position model. The record is from RNAcentral. Lineage: Eukaryota; Fungi; Glomeromycota; Glomeromycetes; Glomerales; Glomeraceae.